GGCCACAGCCAUAUCACCCUGCAGCCCAAGACUGGUUGCCCACUGAAGCUAAGCAGGGUUGAGCCUGGUCAGUACUUGGAUUGGAUACCUCCUGGGAAAACUAGGUUGCUGUUGGAA
RNAcentral lists this ribosomal RNA (117 nucleotides) under Sinocyclocheilus rhinocerous. The record is from RNAcentral. Lineage: Eukaryota; Metazoa; Chordata; Actinopteri; Cypriniformes; Cyprinidae.